Molecule: long non-coding RNA, 414 nt
Filed under: Medicago truncatula (barrel medic)
Lineage: Eukaryota; Viridiplantae; Streptophyta; Magnoliopsida; Fabales; Fabaceae
Description: long non-coding RNA (MTRU_LNC004885)
Source: RNAcentral
CUGGUUCAUUUUAGUCCUUUUGUUGAUUUUACUUUUGGUUUCACUUUACGUUUUUUUCAAAUUACCAAUUUUAGUCCAAUUUUAUUUUUUAAUUGCAUUUUAGUCCCUAAACAGUUUAUAAAUUGCAUUUUAGUCCGCUUUUUCUUAUUUGCUGUUUGGUCCUUCAAUUUUCCUAUUUUACAGAUAAGUCCUUAAGGUCAAAAGUCCAAGGCAGAGCCAAGCAAGGUCCAAUUCCAGGUGGCAUUAUCCCAUUGGUCCAGGAAUACACAUGUCAGCUAUAAAUACAAACACAAUGUCAGAAAUUUCCAGAACCCACACAAUCAUUGACACAUCACCAAAAACGAGUCUCAACUUUCUCUCUCCAUUCAGUUAGAUCAAAAACAGAAAAUCACAGAGAAAUCACCAAGAACAUUC